RNAcentral lists this ribosomal RNA (478 nucleotides) under uncultured bacterium. RNAcentral describes it as "partial 16S ribosomal RNA". It matches the Rfam family "Bacterial small subunit ribosomal RNA", at positions 28 to 523 of the family's 1533-position model. The record is from RNAcentral.
GACGAACGCUGGCGGCGUGCUUAACACAUGCAAGUCGAACGGCAAGGCCCUUCGGGGUACACGAGUGGCGAACGGGUGAGUAACACGUGGGUGAUCUGCCCUGCACUUCGGGAUAAGCCUGGGAAACUGGGUCUAAUACCGGAUAGGACCCUGGGAUGCAUGUCCUGGUGUGGAAAGCUUUUGCGGUGUGGGAUGGGCCCGCGGCCUAUCAGCUUGUUGGUGGGGUGAUGGCCUGCCAAGGCGACGACGGGUAGCCGGCCUGAGAGGGUGACCGGCCACACUGGGACUGAGAUACGGCCCAGACUCCUACGGGAGGCAGCAGUGGGGAAUAUUGCACAAUGGGCGCAAGCCUGAUGCAGCGACGCCGCGUGAGGGAUGACGGCCUUCGGGUUGUAAACCUCUUUCAGCACCGACGAAGCGCAAGUGACGGUAGGUGCAGAAGAAGGACCGGCCAACUACGUGCCAGCAGCCGCGGUAA